Molecule: long non-coding RNA, 216 nt
Organism: Quercus lobata
Lineage: Eukaryota; Viridiplantae; Streptophyta; Magnoliopsida; Fagales; Fagaceae
Exons: 3
Source: RefSeq, a predicted model, not a curated record
CUAAAUUUCGUUAAGUUUGAGACUAAAUUUCUCAAUCAAUGGAUUCAGUUUCUUCACUCUCAACGUCUCUUUUUUGCUGGAGAGAGUUCAGAUGUGCAACCAACCGGAUUUCACAAAAAUAUGACUAUUAAGGCCACAGGUGGUGGAGCAUAUAAAUAUGCUGAUGUUUUCAGAGAUAGACUCGACAUUACUUUUGAUAUAGUGGAUGAAAUAGCU